Molecule: ribosomal RNA, 834 nt
Filed under: Triticum aestivum (bread wheat)
Lineage: Eukaryota; Viridiplantae; Streptophyta; Magnoliopsida; Poales; Poaceae
Description: partial small subunit ribosomal RNA
Source: RNAcentral
AUGGGUGAUAGUAAUAAAAAAUACUUCCAAUUGAUCGCCAAUGGGCGGCAAAGGAAAAAAUGUAUUUACAGUCUCCAACAAGAUGAGGGGCGGAUCGAAGGACAGGAGGAGCUCAAGAAGUAUAUCACCAAGUACUACAAAUCUCUGUUUGGAGCGUCAGUUGAAGGGAACUUCACCCUUGACAAGACCCGAACGGAUGAUAUUCCACAAGUCACGGCAGAAAAAAAUGAUAUCCUAACGGCAGCAUUCUCGGAAGAGGAGGUGAAAGCGGCGGUGUUCCAAAUGGAACAUAACAAAGCUCCAGGGCCAGAUGGUUUCCCCGCAGAAUUCUAUCGGAAUUUUUGGGAUAUCAUCAAGACCGACCUUUUGGAUUUGUUCAAUUGUCUUCAUGCCGACCAACUAGACCUAUUUAGACUUAAUUUUGGCGAGAUUGUCUUGUUGCCCAAGAUUAAGGAGGCCGAACGGAUCCAACAGUUCAGGCCCAUAUGCCUCCUUAAUGUUAGCUUCAAGAUUUUCACCAAAGUGAACAUGAGUGGAGUAGUAUUCAAAAUUGACUUUGAAAAAGCCUAUGACAAGGUCAAAUGGUCUUUCCUCCAACAAGCCCUAAGAAUGAAAGGUUUCUCCGAUAAAUGGCAUCAGUGGGUCCAAAAUUUUGUAACCGGAGGUAGUGUGGCCAUCAAAGUCAAUGAUGAUGUAGGCCAUUACUUUCAGACAAAAAAAGGACUACGACAGGGUGACUCCAUGUCUCCAAUGUUAUUUAACAUUGUUGCUGACAUGUUGGCUAUUCUGAUUGAGCGUGCUAAGCAGGACGGCCAGAUAGAAGGAGUAGUGCCA